AUGGGAGGGUACCUGCUGCGGCACACUCUAUCCUCCUGGAGGGUCUGCCAUAACUAUGAGUGGUCUCCAUGUCUGACCCCUUCCCCACACAGAUGUCUGGACAAUGUGGUCAAUGAGCAGAGUACUUCCCCACCAGUGCCACAUCUCCAUGCCUUGCUGGCCAGUGGAGACGAGCCUCCCACACAGACAGACAUCUUUGACCUCCUCAAAGCCUCCUAUGAGAAAUUCAGCAGCCUGUGGGCCAGCGACACUGAGCAGAUGCGGUUUAAACAGGCUGAAAGUGAUCCAGUCCUUGGAGGACACAGCCAAGAGGAGCGUGGUCUGAGCCAUACCUGGGGACACUGGCUUCUCCACUGAAGAGCUGGAAGACCUUUACAUGGUGUUUAAGGUGAGAGCCGAGAACAGGGACGGGACCUGUGGGAUGUACCACGGGCACAUGACUGAAAAGCUCAAGGUGCUCUACAAGCUGCACCUUCCCCCAGAGGCACUACCACAGGAAGAUCGGGAAGGAAGCAGAAGCGAGGAUACCCAAGAAAAGCGAGCAGAGGAGAAGGGGACCAGCCCCCCAGACUACCGACACUACCUUCGCAUGUGGGCCAAGGAGAGAGAGGCUCAGAAUGAGACCAUCAAGGAUCUGCCCCAAAUGAACCAGGAGCAAUUCAUUGAGCUGUGCAAGACUCUAUACAACAUGUUCAGUGAGGACCCCCUGAGGCAGGACAUGUACCACGCCAUUGCCACAGUGGCCAGCCUCCUCCGCAUCGGCGAGGUGGGGAAGUUCUUCAGUCCCAGUGUCAAGAAGCCCACGGGUGGCACUCCCAGCAGGGACCAGGGCAGUUCCACCGAGGAUGAGUCCCCACUACCAGCAAGGGAAACCCCUCAGGCCCCAGUACAGGAAUGCCAGCCGACAGCCACGGGGGACCCCUGGACCAAAGCUGGUGGAGACACCCACCUUGGAAAAGUGCCACAGGAGAGACAGAUGGUGGUAGAGGGGGGCAGUGGAGAGGGGCAGGGCUCACCCUCCCAGCUCCUGUCUGACGAUGAAACCAAAUACAACAUAUCCAUGUCCUCCUACUCAGUGGUCAGCAUGGGCUCCCUGCAGUGUGAGAACCCCACAGCCACUGCCCGCAUUGGGAACACCAUGGAGCAGACUGGUGCAUCUCCUUCAAGCAGAUCCUGGCCUCCAUCCUGCCGGAGUCUGUGCUGGUCAACUUCUUUGAGAAAAGGGUGGACAUUGGACUCAAGAUGAAGGACCAGAAGAAAGUAGAGAGGCAGUUGAGUGCCUCCAGUGAGCACGAGCCAUCUGUUGCUCUGGGCUGAGCCCCUUGGCUGAGUGAUUCUGGCCGAGGCCUCUGUCCCUCCCUCCUUCCCUUUGCAGUUUCUCAUUAAAGACACAGCCCUCCUGCUCCCCCUUGGAAGCAGUGAGUUGUAAGUGAAAGGAAGGCUGAUGCCAACACAGCUGCCUUAGAAAGAGUCUCUGGGUCUGCAUCCCCUAGCACAGGCCAGUCCUGGGAACCAAGAAUAAGUGGCAGCUCCUCCAUUCCUCUCUGCCUGUGGCCUAGGA
Ochotona curzoniae (black-lipped pika) is the source of this 1561-nucleotide RNA transcript. It is a transcript of the gene named TBC1 domain family member 9B-like, with no coding region annotated. Lineage: Eukaryota; Metazoa; Chordata; Mammalia; Lagomorpha; Ochotonidae. The record is from RefSeq and is a predicted model, not a curated record. The transcript is spliced from 9 exons.